RNAcentral lists this unclassified non-coding RNA (200 nucleotides) under Agaricus sp. RNAcentral describes it as "partial internal transcribed spacer 2". Lineage: Eukaryota; Fungi; Basidiomycota; Agaricomycetes; Agaricales; Agaricaceae. The record is from RNAcentral.
UUAAGUUCAGCGGGUAGUCCUACCUGAUUUGAGGUCAAGCAUUCAGAAAAAUUGUCCUGAGACGAUUGGAAGCUGAACAACAGAGAGCAAUCCCCUCGCCAGUGUAGAUAAUUUAUCACACUUGUGGCAGAUCGCAAACGGUUCCGCUAAUGCAUUUCAGAGGAGCUGACCCCAGCAAGUGGCCAGCAAGCCUCCACAAU